Helianthus annuus (common sunflower) is the source of this 532-nucleotide RNA transcript. RefSeq lists it as uncharacterized. The transcript has 3 exons. The record is from RefSeq and is a predicted model, not a curated record. NCBI's taxonomy places the organism in Eukaryota, Viridiplantae, Streptophyta, Magnoliopsida, Asterales, Asteraceae.
UCGAUACCCACACACAUACAUCACCUUCAAACUCUCUACACAUAACCAAACAACACAACAACCACAUGCAUUUUGAAUUUCCUUCCUUUUGGCCGCCUAGAAAACGCGUGACCACGGGAUUUGGCUGUCAAACAUUUCAUAUCCUUGGUGACUCCUGAUUCUCAUGUCCACAUAUACACGAAUGAACCUAGGCCAUUUUUUAUCACAAAUACAAAUCAAUCAUAAGAUCAUUGCCAAGUUUACAAGUCGUACAAAACCGAUACCAUCGUCACUUCCCUCACAGCCACUCCAUUUCAACAUCACACACACUCACAAACACUCUUUCGCCGGCCCUGCAAGUGGCCGGACACGUACCGGAAUCACACCGGAGCCGUCCGAAGCGCACCGGAGCUUAUUGUUCGCAGGCGGGUUGUUGAUCCUUGUUCUUGUCCGGUUUAAAAAGGGAGACGACAGGAGUUUGCCGGAACCGACAGGUUGAUGACGAUGAUGCUAUGAAAUGAAGUAGCAAUGAUGCCUAGAUACACAUAUAGAC